GCCCUCGUGGAUGGAUGGUACCAUCACCCAUUAGCCGUCGACGAUUAAAUCGGAGGCGGAGGAUCGAAUCCUCCCGGGGGCA
Mycena rebaudengoi is the source of this 82-nucleotide non-coding RNA. The record is from the annotation of a GenBank genome assembly. Lineage: Eukaryota; Fungi; Basidiomycota; Agaricomycetes; Agaricales; Mycenaceae.